CUAUAUAUUAAGUAAAACAAACAGUAAAGAGUUAUAAAAAUUAGACGUUAUUACCGAUGUAGACAGACGGAAAUAAUCACAUGUCAUUGAGUAAGAUGUACAUAAACCUGGCCUAUAUUCUUAAGCAUAGGAACUCAAAACACGGAUUAUUCUACGAUAAACCACGCUUGGGAACUUAUCAUUUCUUAAAUAUAAAAAUAAAUUGUCUGGAAAUGCGCACUGAGGUACCUUACAUGCAUGAAGCAUUUCUGUAAAUUGUCAGUUAAUGGGCGUUAGUUCGAGUCCAUAUGACCGCUGUGAAAUCCUCUUUAGUAGCACAAAAUAUUUUUAUGUUAUCUCUUAUGGGCCCAGACUUGGUGUCACUAAAACCUAUAUAAAAAGAAACAAAUUGUAUUAAAGAUUUCUUGAUCUCAACACCCUUUGUAAGGCUGCCAAAUGCUAACUGCAACUGUUUUAAUAUCAAAUAUUGACAGUCGCAUGGAAAUUGUCGUAUUUUUAAUGCUAAUAAUAAUCUGCGAAAUGUGGUACAAUCAAUGACAAAUGCUUAUUGCUAUGUGCUUAUGUAAAAUAUGUUGAAUAGUUUAGUGGAGAAUGCAUCCUUUGAAUAGUCGUUGGCUCUUGUUAUUUAACUUUCACUCUUUAAAAAUCUUUUUUUCUAUACAGUUUAGCGCAAACACUUCAGUCCAAUUGUCGCAUGAACCAUGAAACAUUGAACCAGUUAAAGAGGUACAGAUCCUGAGCUAAAACACAAUAAAUAUUAGAUAUUCAACAUUUCGCAAUUUACAUUUGGUAUAUAACAUUUGAAAUAUUUGGCAAUUAGCAUGACUAGUUUAGGAUUUAGUAGCAUUUAGUACUACCUAUUUGGCAUUUAACAUUAAAUAUUUAGAUAUGCACCGAAAGGCAUUGAAAAUAUAAUUAUCUUCAAAGUAGUUAUGUUUCAUUAUGUAACAAAAAUAUUUUUCAAUUCAUGAAACAAAUCUACAGUAGAGUGUUUGUGGUAUCAAGGAUACAAGGAUUUUACGUUCUAUGUUAUAUGUCUAUACAAACAGAAUUCGAGGCUGAGCGCAAUACUAUUAGAUAAAGAAGGAGUUACGGCAGUAUUGCGCUCAACCCUCGAGAUGUCGACAUAGUUUGCAAUCAUAGUAACCUUUCAUUAAUACAUUCGGGAGAACUAAUGCUAAAACGAUAGGUUUUUUAAAACAAAAACAUGUAAAUAUGACAAGCCUAGUAGGCAGUACCCAUGGGAAAGGAUUAGUUUCAUAUUGCAGAUAGGAUGAAGUCAUGUUUAAAGAAACUUUUAAAAGGCAGCACACUCACAGAACGUUUUGCCCUACAUUAAACACAGGCAUUCACAAUUUGAGUACAUUUUCUAAAAACCUUACCUUAACAUUCCCACUGAUUGCAUGUGCUAAGUUUUUGUUUUGAUUUGCCGAUGUACAACAGUUUCAUUAUAUUUUCUUAUACACGGUGCACAAUCACGUGGUCUAUGACGUCAUGCUAUAGGUAUCGCGCCAAGCAUUUUUUGUCAACAAAGCGUCGAUUCAAGAAGAAAAUUCGUUAUUCAAACGCAGAAUGGCUGAUGAAGGUAGGACAAACGUGUGCAGCCAGAGUGGCAAGGCUUUCCGCCAGAGGCGAAAUUUGCAUACGCUCGAGAAAAGUCACACAGAAACGUUUCCCUAGGGGUUUCAGCUCUCGAUAGGCAUUGAGGAAGAGAGCAUAAGUUCACACUUAAACGUUCACGACAGGAGAGGGAACAAUCCUCGCACUUUUAGUUCUGACAUUUCCGGCUAUCUGGUGAUGACCCGUUACGAACUCACCGAGCACAUGCGGAGUCAUGAAGACAACCGGAGUCUGCCUGCAUACAAUGUGGUGCAUUGAAUAAGCACAGGCCAUUCCUGAAUCGGGAUAUAAGGCAACGUCGCAGGAAUGUUUGUGUAAUUUAAACCAGUGAAUACUUU
Long non-coding RNA from Mercenaria mercenaria, 1958 nucleotides. RefSeq lists it as uncharacterized. The record is from RefSeq and is a predicted model, not a curated record. NCBI's taxonomy places the organism in Eukaryota, Metazoa, Mollusca, Bivalvia, Venerida, Veneridae. The transcript has 3 exons.